This 263-nucleotide unclassified non-coding RNA is filed under the name Hevea brasiliensis (rubber tree). The record is from RNAcentral. Lineage: Eukaryota; Viridiplantae; Streptophyta; Magnoliopsida; Malpighiales; Euphorbiaceae.
GAAAGGGAUAAUAUGUAUGUGGGUAUAAAUGCUAAUUGUUCUUCUCCAAGUUAUGUUUUGAUCCUGGUUAAUGUUUGGGGUUUGAAGUACAAAAGCAAUUUGGUUGAUGUGUCAGCAUAACUUUGUUCAAUGCUGGUGGAGAAGUUCUUUAGCUCUCCUUUCCUCUUUUCCCCUUGCCGUGCUUCUGGUUGCCUAUAAUUUUGAACUUUGACGCACAACCUGACAUUGUUUUUUAACUUAGUUAAAUCUGCUCUCUAUAAGUG